Mercurialis annua (annual mercury) is the source of this 483-nucleotide long non-coding RNA. RefSeq lists it as uncharacterized. The transcript is spliced from 3 exons. Lineage: Eukaryota; Viridiplantae; Streptophyta; Magnoliopsida; Malpighiales; Euphorbiaceae. The record is from RefSeq and is a predicted model, not a curated record.
CUCCAAACUCUAAAAACGAAUUUCUUCACUCAAAGAACUUGAUUUCUUCUUUCUAACAAGUCCGGAUGCGAUUCAUUCCGCUAAGAAUAUGAUUUUACAUCCUACUCGCAAGAUCUACGCGAUUUCUACGUUGUGUUCUUCGUUGGAGGCUUGUGGAUUAAAUUAAAUUCGGUCCAGCCCCUUGAACCUUGGGUUAAUACAUUAUUUAUCUUAUUGUUCAUCAUCCUUAGACACGUCGACUGCUCGUGCUUCGGAGUCGAAAAAGGUUUAGUUGCUUGCCAGAUUUUUCACGUGGAUUUGCAAGCAGUUUAUGAUUUGAAAGCUGGUCCACUCCGAUUCUUUUGAUUCCUCGGAGGUUUUUAUGUUAUUUAAACUAGUUUCUGUUUUCAAACUCUUAGACCGCAGUAGAACUAGUUAUUUAUUUCAUUUGAUACUACACUUUGGGAUUGUCGAUAUAUUCGAUUAUUAUAUUUGGCAUGAUUA